UUCGUUUGUGUGACGUAGUCUUAUAGAUGAAUGGUGGUGGCGCGAUUUUCGUCGGUAUUCAAAUAUAUUUGUUUACAUUGCAAUACGAUAUUUUACUAACUUACGAUACUAAAAUAAAUACAUAUGUAUUGAACAUCCGCGAUUGGUGUGUUUCAUUCGCGAUUGGCGUUAGCAUUUUUCCGCCUGAAUUGAUAAUUAAAAAACUAAUCGAAAAAAUCAAGCACUAAAAAAAAACUUACAUCUAAAAAUUAAUUCUUGCUUUGGGCAAUGAGCGGCAAUCUUUCAUUCAUUCAAGUGAAAUAGGAAUAAAAAACCGGUCUACCGCGUCGAACAAACAUUGGCAAAGUUCAUUAGUUUUUGUGUGGUGUCUGAACCGACUACAAUUUGUGUUUUUUUUGUAUUUGUUCUCGGCAUUGCGAAAGAGCGUAUAUCGCGUGGUUUGCGUGAUUCCGGAUAUUCUAUAAAAAAAAGGUUGUGCGAAUAGUGAUCACGAAUUAAAAAUAAUGCUUAAAAAAUUAAUAUGCUUUUAUUAAAAUCGAAUUAAAAAUACUAUUUGAACUUAAAUCGUAUAUUAUAGGGCUCAGAUUUUACAUCGAAUAUUAUACAUUUAGGAGGUAAAAUAAUAAGAAAACAAAUAGCAAGAUCAAAUGGUUGAAAAUUAAUUGCCGAAUUGGUAA
Long non-coding RNA from Rhagoletis zephyria (snowberry fruit fly), 677 nucleotides. RefSeq lists it as uncharacterized. The record is from RefSeq and is a predicted model, not a curated record. Lineage: Eukaryota; Metazoa; Arthropoda; Insecta; Diptera; Tephritidae.